AAUACCCAUUGUUUUCGUCUUCUCAUGUCGAAAGCAUGUCGAAAGUUCUUGCUGCUUUGUUAGAGUUUUACUUGUGAUUUUGGAAAAAAUUUAACGCCCAUAUCAAAUAUUGUGUAUGCAGGUACUGGACUACCCAACAGCUUUCAACAAUGUCAGGUUUUCAUCACCAUUCCUACAACUAAUUGAAUGAAAUGUUUCCUGUCUGUCUGAUCUUCUACUGUGGAUUCUACCUUGAAGAAUCAGACACUAGAACGAGAUGCAGGACUCUGAAUUACGUGCCUUCAGCAGUGUGAAAAACAGUGAAAUUGCUUUCACACUGCGCUGUUUUUCCUGAUUGAAAGCAACAUUGCAUUAAAAGAGUGAGUAUUUCAGAAAUAUGUUGAUGGCCACACUGUUAACUUCCACAUAUUCUUCCAUAUUCAAUUAUUUAUCGAGCAGCCUUAAUAUGGGAUAAGGGAGCAGGGUCACCUCUCAAAAUUACAUCUCCCAGAAGUUACCCUAGCCUGUGGUUAAGGACUGACGUCAUAUCACCACCAGUUUUGAAGUUUUGGGCUUUAGCUGUUUGUGCUGUGUUGGCGGUUUCUUCGUGACGAUGAGAUAUGCCCAGGUACCCAAAAAUUGACUUAUUUUUCGUAGAUUAUUGCUUUGAACUCUGUGUCCGUGUAUUAAUUCCUAAAUCAAGCCCUGUUUGUGAGUCGCAUGCGAAGUGUAAUUACUUCAACGUUUCUUUUUUCUAAAGCUAAGAGGGCUUCAUCAUAGCCUUUGGCAAUUUUCAGCUGUCAAAAUAGUCAUUUUCACAGUUACUUUGCGACUUUGCGCAUCCAUGAAAACAUUGAAAGUUACUUUGUGGUAAUCUUUGAGUGAUUACUGACUAUAAUUAUUCUACCAACAAAGUUCACUUGUUAAAUUUUCAAUCAUUGCCUUUUUGUCUACUUCCGGUUUCUUAAUUAGUUAGUAGUUCUGUAAAUAUUCAUGUGACGGCAAAAAGAACCCCUUAUUCGUGAUCCUCGUCAAAUUUGGGGUCAGAAUCUUGCCUUAGUAUUAAAUAUCGGAAAAUCGUCCAAGUCAAAUGACUC
Daphnia pulex (common water flea) is the source of this 1076-nucleotide long non-coding RNA. RefSeq lists it as uncharacterized. Lineage: Eukaryota; Metazoa; Arthropoda; Branchiopoda; Diplostraca; Daphniidae. The record is from RefSeq and is a predicted model, not a curated record. The transcript has 5 exons.